Molecule: non-coding RNA, 1812 nt
Organism: Phasianus colchicus (ring-necked pheasant)
Lineage: Eukaryota; Metazoa; Chordata; Aves; Galliformes; Phasianidae
Source: RefSeq, a predicted model, not a curated record
GAGGCGAUGAGCUGUCCGUCCGUCCGUCCGUCCCCUGCCGGCCCGAGAGGGAAACUGAGGCACGGCCGAGUAGGAGCUGGAGGGGCGUGAGGGACUGCAUCUUCCAUGUUUAACUCCCGAUACUGUGUGAAGAACCUUUCAUUUGUGAUACAGUAUAAUAAAAUCUCCAGAGGUUUUCCUUCAUGUGCUGAAUCUAGUCUCUAGGAAGGCUGUGUACUUGCAUGGUCAGAUGUAAAUAAAUUAAAUUACUUCCUAAAACUCCAUUGCCAGGAUUUUCAGGAAAGAUUUCACUGAGGCUUUUUAGUCACAAGGAGUUAGAAAGAAGUUAACAUGUUGUCAGAAUUUGAAAGAAAACCAAUAGCAGACUGCCUGCCUUUUUUGUUAAAUACAAUAUUGUUUCAAGACCAUAUAGAUUAAAACUGGUGUUUCUUCUGCAUUGCAUUCUGAUUCCCUUGCUUAAUUUAAUUUUGAAAAUAUUGAACACUUAAAAUCAUUGUGACCUGUACCGUGGUAGUUUUUUCUCUGAAAAUAACAUGUUGCUGUGUUAGUGCCUGAAUGCUGUAAUCUCAUCAGAACGUUUGCACAAUAGGUCUGAAUCAUGCUGGAGUGGCAUCAAUGAAGUGCCUUUUUCUAGUUCAGUGAGAAACUUCUGCAGCUUGGAAUGGAACAGAGAUGCAAUAACUCUGGAAAAAAAAGCGUGGGAGGAUAAAAGCAAAAGACCAAGCCCUGUGAUGCAGCAUGAGGAGAAUCUGUCUAAGAACACUUGGAAAGGAAGGCUAAAUAGAGUUCAUUUGGCUCACAGAAGUGUCCUGAUGAGUGCCAAAAUCAGCGCAGGCCAGUCAGGAGUGCAUAGCUGGGAGCAAAGUUCUGGGAUAUAUAGGGAAUGUCACUUUCUCAGCAACCAUGAGCUGAGGCCAACUUACUUUAUCUUCUGGAACUCGGCCAUUGAGGUAAGUUGAUCAGCUCUUCAAGAAACGAAAUUGUGAAAUUCCUCUCUAUUCCUACAGUGAAAGAGUAGGCAAUUAAUGAAGAAACAUGUUGAUGAUGAUUCAUGUUAAUACAACUCAUCCUCAUGGGAUCAAUCUGGCAGCUCACACCUCUGAGAGCAGAUCAGAUUCUUUGCAAAACAUGCAAACUCUGGCAGAUUCCUGCACUGACUGAGUUGCAGCUGAUUCAUCCUUUGGCUUAGGAUAUAGUUUCACUGAGAUCUGGCUCUAUGGUGAGCAGUCCAGGGAGUUAAACCACAAGAAAACUCUAUUUUUUGCUACUAGCUUUCUGUUCACUAAAUUCCUUGAAUCAAACUGGCACCCAUGUUUGUAGAAGUGAAGCAGCAGAAGGAAGACUACAGGCAGAAGAAGGAAGCAGAAUUGUUUUUUCAACCAGGUGCUAAACCUUCCAUCCACCUUGCAGCACUGUGAAACUGAGCCUUUAGGAUGUGGCUUGACAGUUGAUUUUCAACUUUUGACAAAAGAAUUGGUCCUACUAUUUCCCUGAUAUCAGCCUUAUUAAAACAAAUCCUGCUCAGAAUUACUUAUUUGAAUAUAUAGUCAUGGGGUUACUAGCAUCCACACGAGGAAGAUAAAUGACAUUAGCAGUUGAAAUGUGAGUUGGCUUUCUUAUGUAGCUUGGGAUGGGGCCCCAAAUGGAGUGUUAUUAAUGAGCUAGUGAGGACUACAUGCAGCUCUCUGCUCAUUGUCUGCUAACAGCAAUUUAAGUCUUGACUGGAGCCUCUUUCCUUUGAUAUUCCACUAUCAUUGAUUUUCCUUUGAACACUGAGUCAUUUACUCUACUCUUCCCCCUGUUAAAGGAUGA